RNAcentral lists this ribosomal RNA (566 nucleotides) under Candida albicans. Its description in RNAcentral is "LSU rRNA". It matches the Rfam family "Eukaryotic large subunit ribosomal RNA", at positions 74 to 655 of the family's 3401-position model. Lineage: Eukaryota; Fungi; Ascomycota; Pichiomycetes; Serinales; Debaryomycetaceae. The record is from RNAcentral.
AUUGCCUCAGUAGCGGCGAGUGAAGCGGCAAAAGCUCAAAUUUGAAAUCUGGCGUCUUUGGCGUCCGAGUUGUAAUUUGAAGAAGGUAUCUUUGGGCCCGGCUCUUGUCUAUGUUCCUUGGAACAGGACGUCACAGAGGGUGAGAAUCCCGUGCGAUGAGAUGACCCGGGUCUGUGUAAAGUUCCUUCGACGAGUCGAGUUGUUUGGGAAUGCAGCUCUAAGUGGGUGGUAAAUUCCAUCUAAAGCUAAAUAUUGGCGAGAGACCGAUAGCGAACAAGUACAGUGAUGGAAAGAUGAAAAGAACUUUGAAAAGAGAGUGAAAAAGUACGUGAAAUUGUUGAAAGGGAAGGGCUUGAGAUCAGACUUGGUAUUUUGCAUGCUGCUCUCUCGGGGGCGGCCGCUGCGGUUUACCGGGCCAGCAUCGGUUUGGAGCGGCAGGAUAAUGGCGGAGGAAUGUGGCACGGCUUCUGCUGUGUGUUAUAGCCUCUGACGAUACUGCCAGCCUAGACCGAGGACUGCGGUUUUUACCUAGGAUGUUGGCAUAAUGAUCUUAAGUCGCCCGUCUU